This 253-nucleotide ribosomal RNA is filed under the name uncultured bacterium. Its description in RNAcentral is "partial 16S ribosomal RNA". It matches the Rfam family "Bacterial small subunit ribosomal RNA", at positions 524 to 776 of the family's 1533-position model. The record is from RNAcentral.
UACGAAGGGGGCUAGCGUUGUUCGGAUUUACUGGGCGUAAAGCGCGCGUAGGCGGACAUCUAAGUCAGGGGUGAAAUCCCAAGGCUCAACCUUGGAACUGCCUUUGAUACUGGAUGUCUGGAGAUCGGGAGAGGUGAGUGGAAUUCCGAGUGUAGAGGUGAAAUUCGUAGAUAUUCGGAGGAAUACCGGAGGCGAAGGCGGCCUUCUGGACCAUUUCUGACACUGAGACGCGAAAGCGUGGGUAGCAAACAGG